UGAUGUUAGCGGCGGACGGGUGAGUAACACGUGGGUAACCUGCCUGUAAGACUGGGAUAACUCCGGGAAACCGGGGCUAAUACCGGAUGGUUGUCUGAACCGCAUGGUUCAGACAUAAAAGGUGGCUUCGGCUACCACUUACAGAUGGACCCGCGGCGCAUUAGCUAGUUGGUGAGGUAACGGCUCACCAAGGCGACGAUGCGUAGCCGACCUGAGAGGGUGAUCGGCCACACUGGGACUGAGACACGGCCCAGACUCCUACGGGAGGCAGCAGUAGGGAAUCUUCCGCAAUGGACGAAAGUCUGACGGAGCAACGCCGCGUGAGUGAUGAAGGUUUUCGGAUCGUAAAGCUCUGUUGUUAGGGAAGAACAAGUGCCGUUCAAAUAGGGCGGCACCUUGACGGUACCUAACCAGAAAGCCACGGCUAACUACGUGCCAGCAGCCGCGGUAAUACGUAGGUGGCAAGCGUUGUCCGGAAUUUAUUGGGCGUAAAGGGCUCGCAGGCGGUUUCUUAAGUCUGAUGUG
Molecule: ribosomal RNA, 525 nt
Filed under: Bacillus subtilis group sp.
Lineage: Bacteria; Bacillati; Bacillota; Bacilli; Caryophanales; Bacillaceae
Description: bacterial SSU rRNA
Rfam family: Bacterial small subunit ribosomal RNA
Source: RNAcentral